Theobroma cacao (cacao) is the source of this 1211-nucleotide non-coding RNA. NCBI's taxonomy places the organism in Eukaryota, Viridiplantae, Streptophyta, Magnoliopsida, Malvales, Malvaceae. The record is from RefSeq and is a predicted model, not a curated record.
ACAUAUCGUAGAUUCUUACAAUUUUUAUUACACAUCGUUUGAUGUCCGAAACGCCGGCAUCCUCUGUGUCCUCUCCCCCCGAACAUUCCAGAGUUGUCUCUUGUUCCAACUAAAAAAAGAGGAGGAAACGUAGCAGUUGCCUAACACGACCUCUGUGUCUAUCACUCUCUGCUUCUUCUUGCAAGAACAAAAAAGUGAUAUAAUUUCACUGAGGUUGAUAAUAGAGAACGUGGGGACCCUGAGAAAAUGGAACAAACAAAGAUGCUAAAGCAAUGAAAAGAAACCAAAGUUAAUUUCAAGUACCUGGUUCUUUUCACCAGUUGUGGGUUCACAUUCGAUCCCUGUCUUUUCUUUCUCUUACCCAUUCCGCACUUCUUUUUUCUCUUCCUUUCUUAAUCUUGAUCAAGACAGUUCGUUCAUAUUUCUUUCCCUAGUGUUACGAUCAAGCUCGAUGCAAGUUUAGAUAUAUUCUGAAUGAUGGCAUUCAAGAGUUUGCCUCUCUAAUUAAUCUUCUUUUUAAGUGAAUCCUUCUUGGGUUAUCCGCUUGCUCUGUCAGAAUCAAAAGCAGCCAUUUCCAGCAUGAAAAGAUUGAAGGGGCGUGUAAGAUGGAAUGAAGCUAAUCUCAGUGAAAUUGAAGCAAAUAAAGUAGUAAGGAAAAAAAUCGAUGAACCUAAAACACCAUAUCAUCCAAUGAUUGAAGAAGAUGGUAAGGUUUUCCUUCUGCUACACCAGGUACUGCUAAAACCAUUGACUAUGCUGCACAUGCUGAAGCCCUAAGGAAUGCUCUAAGUAAAGUUGCUCUGAGUCAAAAGCACUUUAGUCCUUUUGGGGGAUGGGCAUCGUCUGGUGAAGAGGGUGAAACAGGGGAGAAAGAUCAAGGUUUUGCAAAGCAAAGAGAUGAUGCGAGCUUUACGGAGAGCAGGAGAGCACAUUAUGACGAGUUCAAGAAAGUGAAAGAACUGCAACAAGAGCUCUGCUUUCUCAAUGAUGAGCACAAUAAAGGAAUACAUAACUCUGGUUCGUGUUCGAGUCUUAGUAUCAAAGCAAGAGAAAUACAUAUAGAGGAUAGUGAUGAAAUUCUGCGAAUAAUUGACAUUGAGGAAUAUUGAUGAUCUGAGUUUCCCUCAACAACCACAUUUGCUUAUCUUGAAAGCCUCAUCAAAACCUAGCAAUCAUGGUUAGCCAUUUGUUGAAAGAUUUUGUUAAUGAUA